ACUCCAUGAUGAGGACAAAACCUAGUAUAACCUUUCAAUCUUUCCCAAGCCUUAUAGAGAGCUUCAUCUAGACCUUUUUGAAGCUUGUAAUAUCGUUUCUAAUAUG
This is a non-coding RNA of Arabis alpina (gray rockcress), 106 nucleotides long. The record is from Rfam. NCBI's taxonomy places the organism in Eukaryota, Viridiplantae, Streptophyta, Magnoliopsida, Brassicales, Brassicaceae.